ACUCCCUCAUCAGAUCGCUCUCACUCUCUCAGGUCUCACCCUCUUCCUCUUCCCUUCUCCCUUGCCGGUGUCGCUCUGUGCUUGGUUCUCACAGCGUUGGCGCCGCCUGCACUCGUGUUGCCUCUACUCCGCAAAGACAAAACUGCUCCAGCCAUGCCUCUGCCAUCAUCAUCUUCUUCAGAUCUGACAUCACCAGCCAUGCCUCUGCGUCUAGAGGAGAGGAGAGACGUCUUCAUGCUGCGCGCCUGAGGAAAACCGUCGCAGUUUUCAUCACCAUCCAGAGGAGAGUUGUCUUCGUUGUUGCCGUCAUAGAAGCGAGAUCUGCCUUCGUCCCCGUCCAGAGAAGAUCGUCCUUCAUCGCCGUCAGAGGAGAGCCGCUGUUGCUCACCUUCCUCCUCUCACUGCGUCGCUCACUGCUUCCUGGUCGAAGCUUCACAUCUGGUCCGCCUUUGCUUUGCCGUUUUAAUGUAUAUUUUGAUUUUUAGUUGAUGAAAUUCCUUUGGUUUGAAUUCUAUUACUGUGAAAU
This 526-nucleotide long non-coding RNA is filed under the name Arachis ipaensis. Its description in RNAcentral is "long non-coding RNA (AIPA_LNC002494)". Lineage: Eukaryota; Viridiplantae; Streptophyta; Magnoliopsida; Fabales; Fabaceae. The record is from RNAcentral.